UAUAGAGUGCCUGAAUAAAGGAUAAUUUCGAUAAAAUUAAUAAUGUGUGCAUAACACCUCUAUAA
This 65-nucleotide transfer RNA is filed under the name Cryptocephalus rufipes. RNAcentral's name for it is "tRNA-Ile". Lineage: Eukaryota; Metazoa; Arthropoda; Insecta; Coleoptera; Chrysomelidae. The record is from RNAcentral.